Molecule: ribosomal RNA, 563 nt
Filed under: uncultured bacterium
Lineage: Bacteria
Description: partial 16S ribosomal RNA
Rfam family: Bacterial small subunit ribosomal RNA
Source: RNAcentral
UGGGGAAUAUUGCACAAUGGGCGAAAGCCUGAUGCAGCAACGCCGCGUGAGGGAUGACGGCCUUCGGGUUGUAAACCUCUUUUAGUAGGGAAGAAGCGAAAGUGACGGUACCUGCAGAAAAAGCACCGGCUAACUACGUGCCAGCAGCCGCGGUAAUACGUAGGGUGCGAGCGUUGUCCGGAAUUAUUGGGCGUAAAGAGCUCGUAGGCGGUCUGUCGCGUCUGCUGCGAAAAUCCCGAGGCUCAACCUCGGGCUUGCAGUGGGUACGGGCAGACUAGAGUGCGGUAGGGGAGAAUGGAAUUCCUGGUGUAGCGGUGGAAUGCGCAGAUAUCAGGAGGAACACCGAUGGCGAAGGCAGUUCUCUGGGCCGUAACUGACGCUGAGGAGCGAAAGCGUGGGGAGCGAACAGGAUUAGAUACCCUGGUAGUCCACGCCGUAAACGUUGGGCGCUAGAUGUGGGGACCAUUCCACGGUUUCCGUGUCGCAGCUAACGCAUUAAGCGCCCCGCCUGGGGAGUACGGCCGCAAGGCUAAAACUCAAAUGAAUUGACGGGGUCAUAGCUG